GGGAAUAACCUUGCGAAAGUAAGACUAAUACCCAAUGAUAUCUCUAGAAGACAUCUGAAGGAGAUUAAAGAUUUAUCGGUGAUGGAUGGGGAUGCGUCUGAUUAGCUUGUUGGCGGGGUAACGGCCCACCAAGGCGACGAUCAGUAGGGGUUCUGAGAGGAAGGUCCCCCACAUUGGAACUGAGACACGGUCCAAACUCCUACGGGAGGCAGCAGUGAGGAAUAUUGGUCAAUGGACGAGAGUCUGAACUAGCCAAGUAGCGUGCAGGAUGACGGCCCUAUGGGUUGUAAACUGCUUUUAUAAGGGAAUAAAGUGAGAGUCGUGACUCUUUUUGCAUGUACCUUAUGAAUAAGGACCGGCUAAUUCCGUGCCAGCAGCCGCGGUAAUACGGAAGGUCCGGGCGUUAUCCGGAUUUAUUGGGUUUAAAGGGAGCGUAGGCCGGAGAUUAAGCGUGUUGUGAAAUGUAGAUGCUCAACGUCUGCACUGCAGCGCGAACUGGUUUCCUUGAGUACGCACAAAGUGGGCGGAAUUCGUGGUGU
Molecule: ribosomal RNA, 539 nt
Filed under: uncultured Bacteroidota bacterium
Lineage: Bacteria; Pseudomonadati; Bacteroidota
Description: bacterial SSU rRNA
Rfam family: Bacterial small subunit ribosomal RNA
Source: RNAcentral